Molecule: long non-coding RNA, 731 nt
Filed under: Vigna radiata
Lineage: Eukaryota; Viridiplantae; Streptophyta; Magnoliopsida; Fabales; Fabaceae
Description: long non-coding RNA (VRAD_LNC018640)
Source: RNAcentral
AAAUCUGCUGGACCAGUGGCAAACAAGGCUUGCUGGAUGCACCUCCUUUCAAGCCCAAGAAGUUGUGUUUGACCGUGUGCACCUCCUUCAUGUGUGGGCUUUCAUUUGGGUCCAUGUUGUGCAGCUGCCCAAGCUGCUGUGUGGACUUUUCAAUUUUCUGAAUGAAGCAUGAUGUGCAACAACUCUUCAUGUGGGCGUGGCAACAGGAGGUGGCGUGAAGAUUCUCAUGGGCCGUGUGUUUCUUCUGCUGCUGUCAAGGAUGUGGAUCAGCUGGACGUUGUUGGAUGAUGCAGACCGUGAUAUGUUGGAGCUCUUUAAUGUGCUGCUGUCCGUGAAGAGGAAUGGGCUGCUACAUUGUGGAGUUGCUGCUUGAAGCUUCUUUCAUUUACGUGUUUCUGUAGUUGUAGGGCCAGGUGGAGAUUGUUGAUUGAAGCUCCUUCACGUGUUGGAUCUCCUCUCCCAUGCUGGACCGAGACACCACUCAAGGUCCGUGUUGCUGUUGUUUUUGCUGUGUGCGUGGAGGGAGCUGGGCCGUGUGCACCUCCAUUCUGCUGCAGGUUGCACCGUGAAGAUGCUUACUGGAUGAAGGAAAACGUUGCUGCUGGGAUUAGUUCCAAUUCAAGCACUUGGAUGCUGCAUCAUGUGGUCCGUGUGUUAUCAUUCAGUCGUGGAUCAGCUCCUAAUAUAUUUUUUUCAAGCUUUGAGAGCUUUCCUCCCAGGCCAUGGAUUCC